This 363-nucleotide ribosomal RNA is filed under the name uncultured bacterium. Its description in RNAcentral is "bacterial SSU rRNA". It matches the Rfam family "Bacterial small subunit ribosomal RNA", at positions 29 to 381 of the family's 1533-position model. The record is from RNAcentral.
AACGAACGCUGGCGGCGCGCCUAAUACAUGCAAGUCGAACGAGAAGCUGUAGCAAUACAGUUGUACAGUGGCGAACGGGUGAGGAAUACAUGGGGUGACCUACCCUCGAGUGGGGAAUAACCAGCCGAAAGGUUGGCUAAUACCGCGUACGCUUCCCAGUCUACGGGUUGGGAAGGAAAGCGAUGCCGUGGGUAUCGCGCUCAAGGUUGGGCUCAUGUCCUAUCAGCNGUUUGGUGGGGUAACGGCUCACCAAGGCAACGACGGGUAGCUGGUCUGAGAGGACGAUCAGCCACACUGGCACUGCGACACGGGCCAGACUCCUACGGGAGGCAGCAGUAAGGAAUAUUGCGCAAUGGGCGAAAG